RNAcentral lists this ribosomal RNA (499 nucleotides) under uncultured bacterium. Its description in RNAcentral is "partial 16S ribosomal RNA". It matches the Rfam family "Bacterial small subunit ribosomal RNA", at positions 28 to 507 of the family's 1533-position model. The record is from RNAcentral.
GACGAACGCUGGCGGCGUGCCUAAUACAUGCAAGUCGAGCGAAGUUUUUCUGGUGCUUGCACUAGAAAAACUUAGCGGCGAACGGGUGAGUAACGCGUAAAGAACCUGCCUCAUAGACUGGGACAACUAUUGGAAACGAUAGCUAAUACCGGAUAACAGUAUUUCUCGCAUGAGAGAUAUUUAAAAGUUGGUUAUGCUAACACUAUGAGAUGGCUUUGCGGUGCAUUAGCUAGUUGGUGGGGUAAAGGCCCACCAAGGCGACGAUGCAUAGCCGACCUGAGAGGGUGAUCGGCCACACUGGGACUGAGACACGGCCCAGACUCCUACGGGAGGCAGCAGUAGGGAAUCUUCCGCAAUGGGCGAAAGCCUGACGGAGCAACGCCGCGUGAGUGAAGAAGGAUUUCGGUUCGUAAAGCUCUGUUGUUAGGGAAGAAUGGAUAUGUAGUAACUAUACAUGUAAGAGACGGUACCUAACCAGAAAGCCACGGCUAACUACGUG